GGAGCCGGCCGGGUGGUCGCUGCAUUUCUCGCGAAAUGUGGAGGAAAGUCCGGGCUCCGACGGACACGGUGCCAGGUAACCCCUGGGGGGCGCGAGCCCACGGAAAGUGCAACAGAAAGAUACCGCCGGUCCGAGCCGCGCAGCGAUGCGGGGCCGGGCAGGUAAGGGUGAAAUGGUGCGGUAAGAGCGCACCGCGCGGGCGGCAACGUUCCGCGGCACGGCAAACCCCACCGGGAGCAAGGCCAAAUAGGGAAGUCGCGGGGGCAACCCCGCAGCGCCGUGUCCGUGCGCGACUUCCGGGUAGGCUGCUAGAGGCGUCCGGUGACGGCCGUCCCAGAGGAAUGAUCACCCUCGACAGAACCCGGCUUACAGGCCGGCUCCCAUU
This 385-nucleotide RNase P RNA is filed under the name Nevskiaceae bacterium. RNAcentral describes it as "RNase P RNA component class A". It matches the Rfam family "Bacterial RNase P class A". From Rfam's summary of the family: Ribonuclease P (RNase P) is a ubiquitous endoribonuclease, found in archaea, bacteria and eukarya as well as chloroplasts and mitochondria. Its best characterised activity is the generation of mature 5'-ends of tRNAs by cleaving the 5'-leader elements of precursor-tRNAs. Cellular RNase Ps are ribonucleoproteins. Lineage: Bacteria; Pseudomonadati; Pseudomonadota; Gammaproteobacteria; Nevskiales; Nevskiaceae. The record is from RNAcentral.